CAAUAGCGUAUAUUAAAGUUGUUGCAGUUAAAAGCUCGUAGUUGGAUUUGUGGCUGUCGCGUGCGACCCGACACCUAGUGUUGGUGUUUGCUUGCGUCGCCAUCCUUGGGUGGAACCUGUGUGGCAUUAGGUUGUCGUGCAGGGGAUGCCCAUCGUUUACUGUGAAAAAUUAGAGUGUUCAAAGCAGGCUUAUGCCGUUGAAUAUGUUAGCAUGGAAUAAUAAGAUAGGACCUUGGUACUAUUUUGUUGGUUUGCGCACCAAGGUAAUGAUUAAUAGGGACAGUUGGGGGUAUUCGUAUUCCAUUGUCAGAGGUGAAAUUCUUGGAUUUUUGGAAGACGAACUACUGCGAAAGCAUUUACCAAGGAUGUUUUCAUUAAUCAAGAACGAAAGUUAGGGGAUCGAAGAUGAUUAGAUACCAU
Molecule: ribosomal RNA, 420 nt
Filed under: uncultured eukaryote
Lineage: Eukaryota
Description: SSU rRNA
Rfam family: Eukaryotic small subunit ribosomal RNA
Source: RNAcentral